GUCGAGCCGGUGCUGCCGCGGCCACCGCCACCGCCCAGGGGCUCCGGGGCUGUGGGGAGCGGCUGAACUCAAUACCGCCUCCGCGCUGACUGGAAGGCACUGCGGCCGCGCCUGCCUGCCCCACCUCGUAAGGGCCUGUGACCUCACGAGGCCAGCCGCCGGGCGCUGCAUUCGAGCGAACUUCAGAUUGAAAAGCAUGUACUUGAGUAGCUGUAUUUAAGGAAUUACACCCAAGAAGUCUCAUCUUCCCUGGACUUACGUAGAGGAUAAGAUUCUGAACUUUGAAUUGAUGCUAUAAUGGGAUAAGACUUUGGGGCCUUAGAAGGGGUAAGUUUAUUUUGCAUGUGGGAGAACUAUAAAUAAUUUGUGACCAGAGGGUUGCCUGAGGUAGUCUUAAAAUAUGUCCACAAACACUUUGAUAUUUGUAUUCAUUUCCUAUGCUGUGGUAACAAAUUACCACAAACUUAGUGGCUUAAAUAGCACAAAUUUAUCAUCCCAAGUUUCUGGAGGCCAGAAGUACAAAAUGAGCCUUACAGUGUUAAAAUCAAAGGCUGCAUUUCUUAUUGAGGCCGUGGAAGAGAAUCCAUUCUUUGCCUUUUCCAACUUCUACGGGCUGUAUACAUUGCUUGACUUAUGGCCAUAUCAGUCUGACCCACUUCCAUUCACUCUCACUCUGGCCCCCCUAACUCCCUCUCUUUUUUUUUUUUUUUUUUUUUUUUGAGACAGAGUAUUACUCUGUCAUCCAGGCUGGAGUGCUGUGGCACAAUCUCGGCUCACUGUAACCUUUGCCUCCUGGGUUCAAGCGAUUCUUAUGCCUUGGCCUCACAAGUAGUUGGGAUUACAGGUGCGUGCCACCAUGCCCAACUAAUUUUUUUGUAUUUUUAGUAGAGACAGGGUUUCGCCAUGUUGGCCAGGCUGGUCUCAAACUCAUGGCCUCAAGUGAUCCAACCACCUCAGCCUCCCAAAGUCCUGGGAUUACAGGCAUGAGCCACUAAGCCCAGCCCUGACCCCCUCUUAUAAGGACACUUGUGAUUACAUUGAGCCUCCCCAGAUAAUCCAGGAUGAUUGCCUCAUCUAAAGAUCAUUAAUUAUGUCAACAAAGUUGUUUGUUCCACGUAAGGUAACAUAUUCACAGGUUCUGGAGAUGGGGAUGUGGCUGUCUUUGGGGGGCAAUGAUUCUGUACACAAUGCUCCUCCCUUCAAGAGGUGGCAUCUAUUUCCCUCCUCUUGAAUGUUAGCUGGAUUUAGUGGGCUACUUCUAAUGAAUAGUGUAUGGCAGAAAUUAUGGUGUAACACUUACAAAACUAAGUCAUAAAAAAAUUGUAGCUUCCUCCCUGUUCUCUCUUGGAUUACUCCCGCUGGGAGAAACUAGCUGACAUGUCAUGCAGACACUCAAGCAGUCCUAUAGAGAUAUCCAAGUGGUGAGGAACUAAGGUCUAUUGCCAAUAGCCAGCAUGGAAUUGAUGCCUCCUGCCAACAGCCAUGUGAGUAAGCCAUCUUAGAAAAGGAUUCUCCAGCCCUUUUUAGCCUUCAACCGACUACAGCCCUGGCCAACAGUUUGACUCCAACCUCAUGAGAGUCUCUGAGCCAGAACCACCCAGCUAAGCCAUUCCUAAAUUCCUGACCACAGAAACAGCAAGAUAAUGUUUGUUGUUUUAAGCUACUAAAUUGUGGAGUAAUUUCUUAUGCAGCAACAGAUAACUAAUACAAUCCCCACUGGGUGUGGUGGCAUGCACCUGUAGUCCCAGCUACGUGGGGAGGUUGAGGUGGGAGGAUUGCUUGAACCCAGGAGUUCGAGUCCAACCUGGGCAACAAAGCAAGACCUUACCUCCUUAAAAAAAUUUUAAAAAUAAAUAAAAUAAUACAAUCCCCAAGGUCACAUAUUGAGCUAUGAGGGCUACUUAACUUCUAGGUAUUAACUCUGCAUUCCCGCCUGCAAGAUGAAGGAAAUGGAGAAAAGUAUGUUCCUUCCCUUAAACAGCAUUUACUGGAAGUUGCAUACACCUCUUUCAUUUACAUCUCAUUGUCUAUGAGAUGGACAUGGCACAUGUAGCUACAAGAUUUUUGCAUGCUCUUUGUAUCUAGCAACUUUACUAAAUUUGCUUAUUAGUAAUAAAAGAAUAUUUAUUCUGGGCAACCAUGUGCCCAACUAAACAGCAGAAGUUCUAAUAUUAUGUGAGAAGGAGAAAACAUACUGGGCACAAUCAGCAAUCUCUGUCACAAUGGUGAGUGUAAGGGUCAGGAAAGGCAAAGUCCAGCACACACCCAUCAACAUUUUUUUCCAAUUUCUUAACGAAGUAUUUCCAUUGGCCACCAAAGCGAUAUUUACACAUCAUCACUGUGAUCUCUCCAAAGAAUCAAGCCAAUUCUGUAUGAGUCACUGGAAAAUCCAAUUACUAUACUAAAAUGAAAUCAAUUGUGAAACGUUUUCCUUACAAGUUCUUAUUGGGGACACUGCUAAAGAAUAAUUUAAAAUGGACAUUUUGUUUAAAGGCUCCUAAAUUUUCUAAAUGGUGCUUUCUGUGAGCAAUCUUUGAUGUGUCAGAAAAUAUACAGCUGAUGAAAGUGUUUCCUUUAUGCAAGGAGUUGGAGGGGCUUCAUUAUAACAUUAGCAGCCUCAAGGAAGGCAGUCAUGUUCCUGACCUCUUCAUUUUCUUUUCACAUACAAACCAUUCUUAGGUAGCCACAUUAAGUGGAUUUUUAAAUUUUUAUGUAAUGAUAUACUUAACCCUAAUCACAAGCUUCUAAGACUGCCUCCUUGCAUGUUUUAACCAAACUAAAACAAAUUAGGAAUAUAUACUUCCAUAAAUAUAUUGUAUUAUAAAACCAAUUAGAAAUGAUUUUUAAAUGGCUUAUUUGCAGAGCAUACGUUAUGGUUCCAUUAUACUGUGAAAACUGAGUAAUUCCCAGGCAAUCUGCUUGUAAUUGGUCCCAGUGGCCAUUAGAUGGCUCUGUUACUGUAGAGUUUGGACUACCGAAGCCAAGCGUUAAAGGAUUACAAAUGUGGCUUGACAUAUAGCUUUUCAUCUCAUUUUACAUAAGAUCCUCUAUUUUCAUCCAGACAUUUAGUCAGCAGUUACCAAGACGUAAAUAAAACAUAGUGAAUCUCACAAGAUUUCACCAUAAAAGGUCUCAGUCUAUGUUCACGUAAUCUCUUAAUGAUGUCAUGUAUUGUAUUAUGCUCAAAAAAUGUACAUUAUGUUAGGAAUUUAAGACUCAGGCCAGGCACCGUAGCUCACACUUGUAAUUCCAGUACUUUAGGAGGUAAAGGUGGAAGGAUUGCUUGAGCCCAGGAGUUUGAGACCAGCCGGGGCAAUAUAGUGAGACCUCAUCUCUACAAAAAAAUAUGUAUUUAAUUAGCCGAGUAUGGUGGCAUGUGUCUGUAGUCCCAACGCUUUGGAAGGCCAAGGCAGGAGAAUCCCUUGAGCUUGGGAGGUCAAGGCUGCAGUGGCCAUGAUGAUGCCACUGCAUUCUGGCAACAAAAUGAGAUCCCGUCUGAAAAAAAAAAAAAGGACUUAAAGACAAAGAUUAUGUUAUCAGUGUUCUGUAAGGUACUUCAGUCCCACACUGUUGGUGUUCAAUAAAUUUUAAACAGCCUUUUGGCUGUAAAGUAAAAAAUUCUAAGUAUUAUUCUAGCAUCCUAUAGGAUGAUAAUGUUAAUAAUUAAGAUUUUGAUCCUAUCUCCUGUGAAUAAAUUCUGUAAGAAUAUUUCCUUGCUUGUGUCUUAGUACACAUAAAAAGUAUCCUGUUAGUUUUUCCCCAGGAUUCUAUUCUUCCAGUUUUUCAUGGGAAUUUGUGGUCAUGAGUGAAAGCAAGAUACCCAAGAUCAUUUAACCUGGAAAAUAGGUCAAAGUAGAUUUUCAUUUUGUGUGGGUGGAUAUUUCAUCUUCUGAGUAUGUCAGGCAAGGUUUGCUAUUAACUGUAUAUAGUAACUAAGCUGCCUUACUAUAAAGUUCUUUCUAGGCAAGAAGGCUAAAUAUGUGAUUCCUUAAAUCAGUUGUUCUUAAACUUGAGCAUGAAUUAGAAUCACCAGGGAGGCUUCUUAAAACAGAUCAUGGGUCCCCACUCCCAGAUUUUCUGAUUCAGCAGCUGUGGGGUGGGGCCUGUCAAUUUUCAUUUCUAACAAGUUUCCAGCUGAUAUUGAUGUUGCUGGUCUUGGGACCACACUUUGACACCCACUGCCUUAAAUAAAAUUUAGGCAUUUAAAUGGUCCUGUAAAUAAUUUGCCAUUAAGCUAUUAUUUUAUCCAUUUAUGCUUCCUACAAACAAAAUCUAGGCUACACUGGCAGUCUGUUCUUUUGAGGUUGCACAAGUUCCUAAAUAAUACCCAAUUAAAAAAAAAAAACCGCAAACUCUUAGAACAGUAAUAACCUACUCAUUUAAAAAAUAUUAAGUCUAAAGAGGGCCGGGCCUGGUGGCUCACACCUGUAAUUCCAGCAUUUUGGGAAGCCGAGGCCGGCGGAUCAGUUGAGGUCAGGAGUUUGUGACCAGCCUGGCCAACAUGGUGAAACCCUGUCUCUACUAAAAAUACAAAAAUUAGCCGGAUGUGAUGAUGCACACCUGUAAUCCCAGCUACUCAGGAGGCUGAGGCAGGAGAAUUGCUUGAGCCCCGGAGGCAGAUGUUGUAGUGAGCAGGGAUCACACCACUGCACUCCAGCCUGGGCAACAGAGAGAGACUCCAUCUCAAAAAUAAAUAAAAAUACAAAAAUUUGCCAGGUAUGGUGGUGGGCGCCUGUAAUCCCAGCCACUCGGGAGGCUGAGGCAGGAGAAUCUCCUGAGCCCAGGAAGCAGAGGUUGCAAUGAGCCGAGAUCGCGCUCACUUCACUCCAGCCUGGGCAACAGAGCGAGACUCCAUCUCAACAACAACAACAAAAAAAUCUAAAGAGAAGCUCUGGAUUCUGAAGCUAGCUUCAGUACCCAUAGUAGUCAUCAUUCUGUUACAUUUGGAAACAUGCUUGUUCUAAAAUAAUCAUUUCUGAGUCAAUGACACCUAUUCUUUUCAUCCAAAGGAAACAGAAAUAACAACACAGGAAGCACUGAGCAGCCUUAGGCCAAUUCUUUUUGGAAAGUACAUUUAAUUUACUGUUGCACAAACCCAAACAGAGAAGGUGGUUAGGAAGUGAGGAAGGCACUUAAGAAAUUUCAACCACAGCCGGGGGCAGUGGCUCACGCCUGUAAUCCCAGCACUUUGGGAGGCCGAGGCGGGAGGAUCACGAGGUCAGGAGAUCGAGACCUUCCUGGCUAACACCGUGAAACCCCGUCUCUACUAAAAAUACAAAAAGAAAUUAGCCGGGCGUGGUGGCAGGUGCCUGUAAUCCCAGCUACUCGGGAGGCUGAGGCAGGAGAAUGGCGUGAACCCGGGAGGCGAAGCUUGCAGUGAGCAGAGAUCGUGCCACUGCACUCCAGCCUGGGUGAUAGAGCAAGACUCUGUCUCAAAAAAAAAAAAAAAAAGAAAAGAAAUUUCAACCAGGAAUACUUAACAAAGAAAAAGAGGCCUUUGGACCCCAUUAAAAUCAUGGAUGACUGGCCGGGCACAGUGCUUCACACUUGUAAUCCCAGCACUGUGGGAGGCCGAGGAAGGUGGAUCGCCUAAGGUCAGGAGUUCGAGACCAGCCUGGCCAACAUGGUGAAACCCCGUCUCUACUAAAAAUACAAAAAUUAGCCGGGUGUGGUGGCGGGUGCCUGUAAUCCCGGCUACUGGGGAGGCUGAGGCAGGAGAAUGGCUUGAACCUGAGAGGCAGAGAUUGCAGUGAACUGAGAUCUUGCCAUUGCAUUCCAGCUUGGGCAACAAGAGUGAGGCUUUGUCUCAAAUUAAAAAAAAAAUCAUGGAUGACCUGGGAAUCUCAGAGAAGUAAAGAACUGACUCCUAAUAUGGCAACUUGUCAGGAAUAUUCAAAGUUUUCCGUUAUUGUCCACAGAUCCUGAGACUGGACAUAAAUUUUCUCCAAAAGAGCUAGACACAAUCCCUUUGUGCCGUGUUAUCUGAUGCCAGAACACUGUUUAGCUGUUCACCCCACAGGCCAAAACUGCUAUUUGCUACCUCAUGAAUGCAGCUACAGGUUAUCCCCACAUAUUGACAAAUAAUAUUGGUCUUCAAGACCUGUGAACUUCAUUCCAGUAGCUCAGACAAGAUUCCUGAUUUGAUUCACCUGUUAAAUACAUUUUCUUCCCCCUUUGAUACAGUUUCUUCAUAUAAAACAUCUUAUCUAAAGAAAAUGUCCCAUUAACACUCUCAUGGACUCUGUCUUAGUAACUGAAGAUUAUAAUCACAGGCGUGAGCCACCACACCUGUCUUAGUAGCUGAAGGUUAUAAUUACAGGCAUGAGCUUCCACACCUGUUCCCUGCCACUAUUUCUAAGGACUUCUUGGAUCCAUGACUAUCCCUCCCCGCCCCCUAUUUAUCCCUCUACCAUACUGCCAUUCCCUACAGUAAGGAGUAAUCCAUGGGUGAGACAGGGCUCAGUCAUUGCCCCAUAUCUAAUUCCAAGGCUUAUUCUCAAUGUUAACACAAUAAUACAGAAUAGAUAUUUCAGCUACUUAUGGAUUCCUCUUCCCUAAUAUGUGGAUGCAAAUGUGUGCAAAGUGAAGAAAGAAAUAAUAACUAAAUGAAGCUUAAGUGCUACAUCAGGAGAGACGUAACUAUUAACAAAUGUUGGAAAACGGGUUUGGAGAGAGGAUAGAAUGAGACUUUCAUUGAGAAAGGUGAUAUGGAAUGACAUCUGCUCUUGCCAAAGCCAGGUCUCUCAGAUCUCCCAACUAAAAACACAAACAGUAUCAAUAUCCCAGAGAAUCUUAACCGCACAUUUGAUGACACAGUAAGUCCCAGCAUCUUAGAAUGUUGAUACUGAAAGAGACCUUCAAGACUGGCUGCUAAAAUCCCAUCAUUUCUCAAACUAGAAAACAGCUUUAAGAAGAAGAAAGUGACUUGCCUUAAUUAAAGAUUAUUUAGCUGUAACACUGAGGCCAGAGCUCCAGUUUUCUGCUCAUGGAACAAAUGUUGAUAAGUCUUUCUUUUUUUCUUGGGCAUUUGGGGGUGGCUUUUAAUGUUGGAUGUAUGUCAACACCAAUGGAGCCACUGCUUUUCUGGGACAAAAGAACAGUCCCUCUUCCUCAGGAAAGGUCCAAUGUGUCCACACAUCUAUCCCCAUAGCCUUCUAUCAUGAGAGAGCCCCUCACAGAUCCAGCCACUGGCCAGUGACUUGCUGUGAAUGAUGCCAAGUGGGAGUGUCUGUACCCUGCCCAAGUCUGUGUGGUUUCCUAUGCUCUCCUUCUUUGCCAUCACAUAAAUUUACAAAUAUAAUGCAAGCAUGUUUAUAUACAUGUUCUUUUAAGUUAAGAAAACCUCAUCAUGAGAAAAAUAAAAUAAAAUUGCACUGUGGCCUCUCAGAUUAAAGACUGAGUUAAAAUGAGGUUGUCCAACCCAUAGAAGAACAGGCCACACGUGCUGAUACAACUGACCCAUCAUUCCAUCCUGGCACUUAUUCCCAGCCAACUCAUGGGAAUAAUUCCUUCACAAGGCAGCCAAGAGGUAGAAGGUAAAUACAAUCAGCCCCAUGGAUGGAUACAGCACACCAAGGCACAGGGCCAGGUAUGUGGAGGUGCUAUGGAUGAGGGACAGGAGGCCGGAAGCAUAGGGCCAGACCUCUGGCUCUACAAUAGCACUCUCUCCCUUUGAGGAAAAGCAUUUGGUCAUGAGAGACAUCCCCAGCUCAUAGCAAAUGUCUACAGCAGUGAGGGUGUGGAAUUAGGAGGUAAAGAGAUGGUGCUGGCCUAAGGGUGACACACUUCUUCUAAACAAACCUCCAGAGUAGAGCUGCCAAUAAGGCAAAUCUGAAGGGUUGUGAUUAUGAACUGGGAGAUGCUGGUACAUCCCCCAGGCCAUGAAUGACCCCUGAGUGGCCCAGACAUCCUCACUCCCAACAGGUCAAAGAAUUAGCUUGCAAGGACUUCCCUUGCGAGAGAACCAUAGCUGGGUUGAGGGGAUGGCAAAAGGCACAGGCAGCUCUAAUAGUUCAGCUCUCCCUGACUCCUCCUUCGGCCUGAGGGAGGGGAAAGGAGGCAGAGGUACAGAUGACCCGGGCUGCCAAGCCCAGCAGUUCCUACCAUAGCUGCUGAGAGUCAGGCCUGAGAACCAUAAAUUUAUGAACUCAGGGUAGAGCCAAGGCUUGGUGUCCCUUCCUCUGGAAUGAGAGGCCUCAGCCCUGCCCUUCUCUUCAGGGACAAUGGCCUGAUGAGGAAAGCUGGCUUCUCACUGAGGUAAUGAAGAACACCUGCUCAGCUCCAUAGUCACCCUCAAGCUAAGCAGGAAGAAUCCCUGCAGGAGGCAUUCUGGGACAAAGGCUAAGGAGCUCAGCUUAUCAGGACACAUCACAAUUUUAAAUUACACACUCCCACACACAACACACACACAUAAACACACAGACCCCCACAUACACACACACAGACCCACACUUCCACAUACUGACAUUCUCCCAACCUACCCCACUCUGAGCCCCAAAUCCCUCCCCACAAAUACUGUCCUCUGUAAACAUGAUGGCAGGGACUCCUGCAAUCGUGGCACAGGCUGAUAAUGAUCUGAGGAUGACUGCUUAUCAUUAAGUGCCCCGGUACGUGAUAUUGGUGAAGGUAGACGUGGCCUCUUUAUACAGUGGGUUGUUGGCCUGUGGAGGAAACAGAAUAGCAUCUUACAGUGACUUCCUUAAGUCCUUCCCUACCCUGAAUGUUUAAAAUUCAUCUCAGAAGUUUUCCCAAGGCACCGUUCUCUGGAAUACAUCAUCAAUGAAACAGAAUAAUGUUCAUUUUGCUCACACUUUAGUUCUUGGCAUGGGAAUUGAUAGGAAAUAAC
This 8845-nucleotide long non-coding RNA is filed under the name Homo sapiens (human). Its description in RNAcentral is "non-protein coding lnc-CDC27-2:11". The record is from RNAcentral. Lineage: Eukaryota; Metazoa; Chordata; Mammalia; Primates; Hominidae.